This 335-nucleotide ribosomal RNA is filed under the name uncultured bacterium. RNAcentral describes it as "bacterial SSU rRNA". It matches the Rfam family "Bacterial small subunit ribosomal RNA", at positions 28 to 370 of the family's 1533-position model. The record is from RNAcentral.
GAUGAACGCUGACAGAAUGCUUAACACAUGCAAGUCUAUUGGAAGCUUGCUUCCGAUGGCGGACGGGUGAGUAACACGUAAAGAAUCUGCCCUUUAGUCUGGGAUAACAUCUGGAAACAGUUGCUAAUACCGGAUAUUAUAAUUCGAUGGCAUCAUCUUAUUAUGAAAACUAUAUGUGCUAGAGGAGGACUUUGCGGCCCACUUAGCUAGUUGGUGAGGUAAUGGCUCACCAAGGCUUCGAUGGGUAGGCCGGCCUGAGAGGGUGUACGGCCACAAGGGGACGUGAGACACGGCCCUUACUCUACGGGAGGGCAGCAGUGGGGAAGUAAUUGGUA